GACGAACGCUGGCGGCGUGCUUAACACAUGCAAGUCGAACGGAAAGGCCUCUUUCGGGGGGUACUCGAGUGGCGAACGGGUGAGUAACACGUGAGUAACCUGCCCUUGACUUUGGGAUAACUUCAGGAAACUGGGGCUAAUACCGGAUAGGAGCUCCUGCUGCAUGGUGGGGGUUGGAAAGUUUCGGCGGUUGGGGAUGGACUCGCGGCUUAUCAGCUUGUUGGUGGGGUAGUGGCUUACCAAGGCUUUGACGGGUAGCCGGCCUGAGAGGGUGACCGGCCACAUGGGGACUGCGAGAGGCACCAGUCUCCAACGGGGGGCAAUGGGGGGAAAUAUGGUCCAGGGGGGGGGCGCGUGUGGCGACAACCCUCGGGGCGGGAAGCCGGUUUUUGGGUUGAAAACCGCUUCCGGUUAAUACCAAGCUUUUUUGGCGGGAAGUGGGUAAAAAACACCGGCUAACUUCGUG
RNAcentral lists this ribosomal RNA (466 nucleotides) under uncultured bacterium. RNAcentral's name for it is "partial 16S ribosomal RNA". It matches the Rfam family "Bacterial small subunit ribosomal RNA", at positions 28 to 507 of the family's 1533-position model. The record is from RNAcentral.